UCUGCACGGUGGCUCUUUUAAA
RNAcentral lists this microRNA (22 nucleotides) under Drosophila mojavensis. RNAcentral describes it as "Dmo-Novel-1_5p (mature (guide))". Lineage: Eukaryota; Metazoa; Arthropoda; Insecta; Diptera; Drosophilidae. The record is from RNAcentral.